UUUUUUGAUGUCAAUUAGUCAGGUGUAAUCUCAGCCAAAACUUGUGAAAUCUUCCCUCUAGGUGCAUUCUUUAAUUUCCGUGCCAAAAACUAUACACCCUAUAUUUAGGAACAGAGGGAGUAUCAUUUAACUAGUUUGUCCCAAAUUCAUAAAAAAUAGCACGCCAUUUAUAUAUCGUGCCAUGACACUGGGUAAGUUUCAUGAAUUUCAUACGAGCAUUGGG
RNAcentral lists this long non-coding RNA (223 nucleotides) under Hordeum vulgare. RNAcentral's name for it is "long non-coding RNA (HVUL_LNC013339)". Lineage: Eukaryota; Viridiplantae; Streptophyta; Magnoliopsida; Poales; Poaceae. The record is from RNAcentral.